The sequence is a transfer RNA, 73 nucleotides long. It matches the Rfam family "tRNA". From Rfam's summary of the family: Transfer RNA (tRNA) molecules are approximately 80 nucleotides in length. Their secondary structure includes four short double-helical elements and three loops (D, anti-codon, and T loops). Further hydrogen bonds mediate the characteristic L-shaped molecular structure. tRNAs have two regions of fundamental functional importance: the anti-codon, which is responsible for specific mRNA codon recognition, and the 3' end, to which the tRNAs corresponding amino acid is attached (by aminoacyl-tRNA synthetases). tRNAs cope with the degeneracy of the genetic code in two manners: having more than one tRNA (with a specific anti-codon) for a particular amino acid; and 'wobble' base-pairing, i.e. permitting non-standard base-pairing at the 3rd anti-codon position.
GUCCCCGUAGCUCAACGGAUAGAGCGCUUCCCUGCGGAGGAAGAGACUACAGGUUCAAUUCCUGUCGGGGACG